This 465-nucleotide ribosomal RNA is filed under the name uncultured bacterium. Its description in RNAcentral is "partial 16S ribosomal RNA". It matches the Rfam family "Bacterial small subunit ribosomal RNA", at positions 28 to 507 of the family's 1533-position model. The record is from RNAcentral.
GACGAGCGCUGGCGGCGUGCUUAACACAUGCAAGUCGAACGGAAAGGCCCCUUUGGGGGUACUCGAGUGGCGAACGGGUGAGUAACACGUGAGUAACCUGCCCUUGACUUCGGGAUAACUUCAGGAAACUGGGGCUAAUACCGGAUAGGAAUCCUUGCUGCAUGGUGGGGGUUGGAAAGCUUCGGCGGUUUUGGAUGGACUCGCGGCUUAUCAGCUUGUUGGUGGGGUAGUGGCUUACCAAGGCUUUGACGGGUAGCCGGCCUGAGAGGGCGACCGGCCACAUUGGGACUGAGAUACGGCCCAGACUCCUACGGGAGGCAGCAGUGGGGAAUAUUGCACAAUGGGCGGAAGCCUGAUGCAGCAACGCCGCGUGCGGGAUGACGGCCUUCGGGUUGUAAACCGCUUUCAGCAGGGGCGAAGCUUGUGGUGACGGUACCUGCAGAAGAAGCACCGGCUAACUACGUG